Molecule: ribosomal RNA, 506 nt
Filed under: Trochoideus desjardinsi
Lineage: Eukaryota; Metazoa; Arthropoda; Insecta; Coleoptera; Endomychidae
Also listed under: 1 other name
Description: partial 16S ribosomal RNA
Rfam family: Bacterial large subunit ribosomal RNA
Source: RNAcentral
GUCUUUAUGAAUAUAAUUUAAAGUCUGACCUGCCCAAUGAUUAAUUAAAUGGCCGUGGUAUUUUGACCAUGCAAAGGUAGCAUAAUCAUUUGUUUCUUAAUUAGAAGCUGGAAUGAAGGGUUGAAUGAAAGAUUAACUGUCUCAAUUAAAUAAAUAAAAUUUUAUUUUUAAGUUAAAAAGCUUAAAUUGAUUUAAAAGACGAGAAGACCCUAUAGAGUUUAAUUUUAAGUUAGAAUUUUAAUAUUAAGAUUUAAUUUUAAAUUUUUAAUAAAAAUUUAAUUGGGGUGAUUAAAAAAUUAAAUAAACUUUUUUUUUAUAUUAACAUUGAUAUAUGAAUAUUUGAUCCAAUAUAUUGAUUAAAAGAAUAAAUUACCUUAGGGAUAACAGCGUAAUUUUUCUUUAGAGUUCAUAUUAAAAGAAGAGAUUGCGACCUCGAUGUUGGAUUAAAAUUUAUAGUUGGUGAAGAAGCUAAACUAUUAAGUCUGUUCGACUUUUAAAAUUUUACA